UGAGUAAUACAUCGGAACGUGUCCUGUAGUGGGGGAUAGCCCGGCGAAAGCCGGAUUAAUACCGCAUACGAUCUACGGAAGAAAGCGGGGGAUCCUUCGGGACCUCGCGCUAUAGGGGCGGCCGAUGGCAGAUUAUCUAGUUGGUGGGGUAAAGGCCUACCAGGGCGACUAUCUGUAUCUGGUCUGAGAGGACCACCAGCCACACUGGGACUGACACACGGCCCACACUCCUACGGGAGGCAGCAGUGGGGAAUUUUGGACAGUGGGGGCAACCCUGAUCCAGCAGUGCCGCGUGUGUGAAGAGGGCCUUCGGGUUGUAAAGCACUUUUGUCCGGAAAGAAAACCAUCGCCCUAAUAUGGUGGUGGGAUGACUGUACCGGAAGAAUAAGCACCGGCUAACUACGUGCCAGCAGCCGC
Molecule: ribosomal RNA, 417 nt
Filed under: uncultured Burkholderia sp.
Lineage: Bacteria; Pseudomonadati; Pseudomonadota; Betaproteobacteria; Burkholderiales; Burkholderiaceae
Description: bacterial SSU rRNA
Rfam family: Bacterial small subunit ribosomal RNA
Source: RNAcentral